GACGUAGGGCGCGAGCGUUAAUCGGAAUUACUGGGCGUAAAGCGUGCGCAGGCGGUUCGUUAAGUCAGAUGUGAAAGCCCCGGGCUCAACCUGGGGACUGCAUUUGAAACUGGCGGGCUUGAGUGUGGCAGAGGGGGGUGGAAUUCCGCGUGUAGCAGUGAAAUGCGUAGAGAUGCGGAGGAACACCGAUGGCGAAGGCAGCCCCCUGGGCCAACACUGACGCUCAGGCACGAAAGCGUGGGGAGCAAACAGG
Molecule: ribosomal RNA, 253 nt
Filed under: uncultured bacterium
Lineage: Bacteria
Description: partial 16S ribosomal RNA
Rfam family: Bacterial small subunit ribosomal RNA
Source: RNAcentral